GACGAACGCUGGCGGCGUGCUUAACACAUGCAAGUCGAACGGAAAGGCCCUGCUUUUGUGGGGUGCUCGAGUGGCGAACGGGUGAGUAACACGUGAGUAACCUGUCCUUGACUUUGGGAUAACUUCAGGAAACUGGGGCUAAUACCGGAUAGGAGCUCCUGCUGCAUGGUGGGGGUUGGAAAGUUUCGGCGGUUGGGGAUGGACUCGCGGCUUAUCAGCUUGUUGGUGGGGUAGUGGCUACCAAGGCUUUGACGGGUAGCCGGCCUGAGAGGGUGGCCGGCCACAUUGGGACUGAGAUACGGCCCAGACGCCUACGGGAGGCAGCAGUGGGGAAUAUGGCGCAAUGAGCGGAAGCCAGAUGCAGCAACGCCGCGUGCGGGAUGACGGCCUUCGGGUUGUAAACCGCUUUCGCCUGUGACGAAGCGUGAGUGACGGUAAUGGGUAAAGAAGCACCGGCUAACUACGUG
RNAcentral lists this ribosomal RNA (467 nucleotides) under uncultured bacterium. RNAcentral describes it as "partial 16S ribosomal RNA". It matches the Rfam family "Bacterial small subunit ribosomal RNA", at positions 28 to 507 of the family's 1533-position model. The record is from RNAcentral.